AAUAACACCCCUUAAGAGUCUUAUUCUGCCAACACCCAGCUUAUUCUAAUAACACCUCCGCACUGCCAAAACCACCAAACCGACCAUGUACGCACCUUCGAUAUGGACUGCAGCAACCACGAGAAAAAACUCCAACGAUCCAACUUUAUCUUACCCCCGAGCAGGCGCACGACCCCCACCUCCUCCUACCUUCUUCCCCGCACGCACAUGCCCGCCGCCGGCGCGCCCCAUCCCGUGCCCUUCUUUGCCGCUGGUGCGCCCCAUCUCGUCGACUUAUUUGCCGCCGGUGUGCCCCUUCCCGCGGCCUUCCCCACCACCUCCCGCCCUGCUCCACCCUCCCUCGUCCCACCACCUCCUUGCCCCGAUCCACACCUUCCAGACCCCAACACCUCUACCAACGGCGCGCGCAGGUCUCCCUCCCACUACCGCCUCCCUCCUCUCUAGUGGCCGGCUUCCCAAGCACUGACGCAUGUCCCAUCUCCCCAAUCCCAGAUCCGCUAGGGGGAUCCAGCGCUCACCGCGCCCAUAGGGUCCCGCGCUACCACGGCGAACUCGCCGGAUCCGGCCUCCCUGGUGGUCGUGGAGUACGAAGACCACCGGAUCCUCCCUCUCCCGCGAUGAUAGGCUCUCCUCCAGCUCGCCUACCACGACCACAACGGGGGGUGGUACCCCCACUACCUGUCUUCAGCGAUUGGGGUCUUCGGCCACUCUCCCCUGCCCGUUCCACCACCUCCCUCUCGACUGUGGCACGAUUAGUGGUGCUGUGCUCCAGCCGGCUCCUCUGGCAAGCUUGCAGACGACGUGACGAGGAGAACCGGCAGUCUCCGGCCAGCGGGUGGCGGCUGCCUCUGUCCUCCUCUCCCCCUACGCCCGAGCAGCAACAGGAAGAUGGCGUUGCGGUGAAGUGCGCCUCUGUUUCCAGUUCCGUUGGUGCCUCUACCGCGCGAGAUGCAGCUCACUUUUUUUUCUCCUAGAAAUCAUCUACAAUGCAACACUCACUAAGAAAGAGAAGAGAACAUCAAUGUUCAUUUGAAGUUUGAUUUGUUGUUUAUGGGAAACGCAUAGAGAAAAGGGUAGUAAGAAUGGAUGGUCAUUUUGUAUAAGCAACUCUUUCCCUAGUGGAGUUUUGUUGGGUACUGCAACAUUGAUUCCGCUGUGUACUAGAUGGCAGUGUGGCUGUGUAAAAAAUAAUGAAUGGAUAUGUAUGUUUUUAAGCUCA
Long non-coding RNA from Triticum aestivum (bread wheat), 1219 nucleotides. RefSeq lists it as uncharacterized. Lineage: Eukaryota; Viridiplantae; Streptophyta; Magnoliopsida; Poales; Poaceae. The transcript has 2 exons. The record is from RefSeq and is a predicted model, not a curated record.